GAUGAACGCUGGCGGCAUGCCUAACACAUGCAAGUCGAACGGCAGCAUGACCUACCUUCCUCGGUUACUUGCGCGUGGCGCACGUGAGUGUCAUGCAGCUGACCGUCCUUUUUGGUGGGGGUUACCGUAGCAAAAGGUACCCUAUUACCGCAUAUUCUCUGAAGCGCAAAGCUGAAUACCUUCGGGCCUUUUGCUUGACAAUCAGCCCGGGUCGCAUUAGCUAGUUGGUGAGGUAAAGGCUCACCAAGGCAACGAUCCGUAGCGGGUCUGAGAGGAUGAUCGGCCACACUGGAACUGAGACACGGUCCAGACUCCUACGGGAGGCAGCAGUAGGGAAUCUUGGACAAUGGGCGCAAGCCUGAUGCAGCAAUGCCGCGUGAGUGAAGAAGGCCUUCGGGUCGUAAAGCUCUGUCGGCAGGGAAGAAAACGCGCCCUAGAAAACAGGGAGUGGAUGACGGUACCAGAAUAAGAAGCACCGGCUAACUACGUG
This 490-nucleotide ribosomal RNA is filed under the name uncultured bacterium. Its description in RNAcentral is "partial 16S ribosomal RNA". It matches the Rfam family "Bacterial small subunit ribosomal RNA", at positions 28 to 507 of the family's 1533-position model. The record is from RNAcentral.